AUAACCUGUUGAACAGAUCUCAUUAUCUUGGCAAACUUCAUUAGUGGCAUAUCCGUGGUUAGCCCUCAGAGAGUUCAGUGACGUACUCUUAUGUUCAGAAGUAACCAACAAGAUGCUCUUUUGUAGGGAGUGUUUAAAAAAGAAGACGAUGUGGACAUGCUUGGUGAAGAGUUCAGGAAAGCAUAUCAGAAAAAGAGUGAAGUCUGUGAAGAGAAGGGGUCUUCAUAGCAAGAUUGGGCGAAACCUGGAGUUUUCAGAUGCUGCCACUAGAUGUCAGCACAACUGCUGUUUCCAGUUGGUGACAGUAGGCCCUGGUCUACUGUCUAUUUGCAUGUUCUAAAACAUCUCAUAUUUCAUCAUUUAUACUUAGACAGAUUAAACAAUUGGUACGUU
RNAcentral lists this long non-coding RNA (393 nucleotides) under Rattus norvegicus (Norway rat). Its description in RNAcentral is "long non-coding RNA NONRATT028727". Lineage: Eukaryota; Metazoa; Chordata; Mammalia; Rodentia; Muridae. The record is from RNAcentral.